UUUUCGAAGAGAGGCCUAGAGAGGGAGAACCGAGCAGAGGAAGGUCUCUGCGUUUUCCGGCAAGUUUCCAUGUUUUCCGGCGACCUCUGAUUUCGAUUCAGGUAUAAAAGUUGGUCCAUUUGUUGAGCUUUACAUGUCUUUAUACUUGAAUCGAGAUUGGUUGAUGUUUGAAGAAAGUUAGGUUUUAGGCAGUGUUGACUGCCGUGAUUGCCACCGUGCACGGCGGCGGUGGAGGUGCUUCUAUUGUUUUCCGGUUUCAAAUUAAAUGUUGAAGUUGGAUUGAUGUGUGUUCUCUAUGCUAGAUAUAUAGUUUUGGUUAAGAAUUGAAGUUUGGAGUUUAGGUUACUGUAUUUGAUGUUUGGUGUUGGCAGUGGCGGUAGUGGUGGUGUUUCCAUUUGUGUUUGGUGUUUGCAGCAUCAGUUUACGGUUCACUUCUGAUUUUGGUUGUUCUUCUUGUUUUCCGGAUUAUGCUGUGAUUAGUGUACUGAACAUGAAGGACUGAUUUGUGAUGUUUGGAUUCUAGAAAUGGAGUUGGAAACAGUCGGGGAUUUCAUUAUGAAUUGUUAGUUUUGGUCAAGUUGUGAUUUGAUUUGAUAAUAAGGAAAGAAACAAUUGGAGUAUAUGGCUGCUGGAUUUCAAGACACAGAAGUAUGGUAAAUUUGGAUUAGUACUUGAAAUCAGUUCAAGACUCUGAAGGCUGGAAUCGAUGCAAUUGUGUGAAAACUUGUUUUGGGUGUACAUACCAAUUCAGAAUCAUUCUAUGAAGAAGUAAAUGGAAUUUAGAGACGAUGAAGAAAUCGGAGACAAAGAGUCUUGGGUGUCCAGAGUAAAUGUGUAGUUGGAUUGGUGGUUAGAGCAUAAUAUGGAUACGACGACAUAAUGGAAUAUGGAAUUGAUGAUCGAUUAAGGAUGGGACAUAUAUAGUCAAUCUAAGCAUGACUAAAGUAUGAUGAGACUUGCAGACUUGGUUCAUAAUGUAAUAAUAGAAGUGGGAGAAUGGAAUUUGGAUGAAGCAUAUUGUUAUUAAGGAUUUGGGUGUCCUUAGUAAAUUUAUGAAUUCGGUCAAGUUGAUUCAAAGGGAUUUGUCGAGUUUUGCGGAUUAAGGAUUCAGGGUGUCCUUAGUAGUUUUGAGGACAUGAUUGUAUCAAUUUAAAGUGUUCGACAAAUUUCUUGGAGUAUGUAUCUGGUACAAGGAAUGGAAAGCACGCUUGCAAGAUUCCAGAAGCAGAAGGAUAAGGAUUUCAGAAUGCGUGUCGUUGAGUUACUAAUUUUAGUUGGCGUCAGAGUCGACAAAGCUUGGAUUCUAG
This 1307-nucleotide long non-coding RNA is filed under the name Fragaria vesca (wild strawberry). Its description in RNAcentral is "long non-coding RNA (FVES_LNC002342)". Lineage: Eukaryota; Viridiplantae; Streptophyta; Magnoliopsida; Rosales; Rosaceae. The record is from RNAcentral.